UGAAGGAAGGAGGCGGAGGGAGGAAUGCUGCAGGAUGCUUACCGUGAUGGCUGUCAGACCGAGUGGCGAUUAGACUAAACAUCCUUUUUUUCAUGUCACAUUGACGAGGAUGAUAACCACCAUGUCCGCAGCAGGUGUCGCGGUGUGGCUUAGCACGGUGGUGACCAUCCUGUCGAGGUCGCAUGCAGACCGAAAUGUGUACCCGUCUGCAGGAGUGCUGUUUGUCCACGUUCUGGAGAGAGAGCACUUCAAAGGAGAGUUUCCCCCCUACCCAAAAUCAGGUGAUGCCAGCAAUGACCCAAUCACUUUCAACACCAAUCUAAUGGGCUACCCUGACAGGCCGGGCUGGUUGCGCUACAUCCAGAGGACCCCGCUCAGCGACGGGGUGCUCUAUGGCUCACCCACUGCAGAGCAUGUUGGCAAAGCCACUGUCAUAGAGAUUACUGCCUAUAACAGACGCACUUUCGAGACGGCACGGCACAACUUGGUCAUAAACAUCAUGGCUACAGAAGAGUUCCCUCUGCCCUACCAAGCUGAGUUUUACAUAAAAAACAUGAACGUGGAGGAGAUGCUGGCCAGCGAGGUGCUGGGGGAUUUCCUGGGAGCGGUGAAGAACGUGUGGCAGCCAGAGCGCCUCAAUGCCAUCAACAUCACCUCAGCGCUGGACCGAGGCGGCCGUGUUCCCCUGCCCAUCAAUAACCUGAAGGAGGGAGUGUACGUGAUGGUUGGUGCUGAUGUUCCCUUCUCAUCCUGCCUGCGUGAGGUGGAGAGUCCUCAUAACCAGCUGCGCUGCAGUCAGGAGAUGGAGCCUGUCAUUAGCUGUGACAAGAAGUUCAGAGCUCAGUUUCAUAUUGACUGGUGUAAGAUUUCUCUGGUUGACAUCAACAAAGUGGUUCCGGUGUACAUUUCCCGUCCUGACCCUGGUACUGGGAUUCUUCCCGAAUUUGCGCCGUACGACCCUCCUUCUGAAUCUCUCAAGAGCCGGGACUACUUUUCAGACUUCCUAAUCACUCUGGCUGUUCCCGCCGCCGUGGCUCUAGUCCUCUUCUUCAUCCUCGGCUACACUAUGUGCUGCCGACGAGAAGGGGUGGAAAAAAGAAACAUGCAAACACCAGACAUCCAGCUGGUUCACCACAGCUCCAUCCAGAAGUCCACCAAGGAGCUGCGGAGCAUGUCUAAGAACAGGGAGAUCUCCUGGCCACUAUCCACCCUGCCUGUUUUCAACCCGGUUAGCGGCGAGGUGGUGCCACCCAUCCAUCCUGACAACUAUGAGACUACCAGCAUGCCUCUAAUGCAGACACAGACGAAUCUGCAGAAUCAGAUUACGAUACCACAGCAACGGCCAUCAGAACUGUUGAAUCAAAAGCUUCCUGAUGCAGAUAACGGACAGUAAAAGAUUUUGCUGUAGCUCUGCAAGAAAUCAUGCAUGAGAACCUUAGUUCCUUGUCCAGCCUGUCUCUUCAAGCCUGGUGAUGGGUGUGUGAGCGCCCUCCAGUGUGCAUGCUGCUUACCUGCAUGACAGUUUCAGCACUAACCUGCUUCUCUCUCUGUUCACUGCUAACAAAGGAGAAAAUUAUGUCAUGUCCACAUUUCGAAGACUAGAGGUAAAUGGUAUUCCUGAGGAACGAAAGGUGGCAGAAGCGCUGAACUUGUGACCAGAAACCAGUGUGAAAGCACUCUUUGAUUCCAUAUCUUUGUUUUUUUUUUUUUUUUUUAACAAUUGUGCCAAUCUGCAUGCCUCAAGUGUUUGAAAACUUACCGUCCAUGUGCACUUACACCUUAAAGAGUGAGAGUGUGAUCAAGAAUAAGAAGAGAUUAGCUUAUUAUAAAAAAAGAGUAUUUUUAAAUAUAUGUGUAAAUGUUAAAAUGAUGAUGUUAGCAUUUCUACUUGCUUUGCACAACAGACCUCUUAGAGGAAAAGGGAAUUUUACAAAGAAAUGCUUUAUCUGUCGUGUUAAUUACAUGUAAUUUGUCACGAGAAUAAAUUCUUUAA
Molecule: RNA transcript, 1993 nt
Organism: Cheilinus undulatus (humphead wrasse)
Lineage: Eukaryota; Metazoa; Chordata; Actinopteri; Labriformes; Labridae
Gene: sgce
Gene name: sarcoglycan, epsilon
Exons: 12
Source: RefSeq, a predicted model, not a curated record